AUCGAUCCACAGGGAUUGGGGUAUAGUUGUUUUCUUUAAAAAUAAAAAUAUUUAAAAAGAAGAGUUUGUGAAGAAAAUUAAACUAAGAAAUUUAAUAGAGAAAAUGCAAUUAAAAUAAUAUUAAUUUGGGAGAACCUAGGGCAAGGAAUUCACCACUAACAUCGGAUCAAGGAUUAAUUAUAUUUUAAUUUAUUCUUGGAUAAACAUGCAAAUUGGCUACAAGCCUAAUAAGCAUUUGAAUAGAAAUUUACAAAAGUAAUUUAGGCAUAAUCCAUCUUUAGUUUAGCAUGAAAU
RNAcentral lists this long non-coding RNA (294 nucleotides) under Phoenix dactylifera (date palm). Its description in RNAcentral is "long non-coding RNA (PDAC_LNC008989)". The record is from RNAcentral. Lineage: Eukaryota; Viridiplantae; Streptophyta; Magnoliopsida; Arecales; Arecaceae.